Long non-coding RNA from Gasterosteus aculeatus aculeatus (three-spined stickleback), 1135 nucleotides. The record is from Ensembl. NCBI's taxonomy places the organism in Eukaryota, Metazoa, Chordata, Actinopteri, Perciformes, Gasterosteidae.
CUUUGUUUAUCCAUCUGCAUCUUCCUUCUAUUUGUGUUUAACAUUUGGCUGAAAAUACUGCACGUUUAAGUUCUGUUUUCGAUGUGACUUCUUAAAGCGAUGUAACCGUCGGCGUGUUGUUUGCAGGAGCUGCGGUGGGUCCUCUGCUAGCCGGCCUGAUCUCUCCCACUGGCUGGAACCACGUCUUCUACAUGCUCAUCACUUCUGACCUCUUAGCCUGCCUGUUUUUGUCCAGGCUCGUUUACAAAGAAGCUCUUGGUUGGUGUCGACGUGUCCCCCGAGCCAGAGGGUUCAAAGAAAUCUGAAACACCGGGAACCAAAAUUGAGAAAAGAGGGAGAAAAUGCCGAAACUGACCUUGGUGGACAUUAUAUACUUCACUGAAUGGAAACCAUUGGAGCCGCCAGUGGAGGAUUCGAGGCACUACAACUGACGAUCAAGGCCGCCUUCUUCUUUUAAAAGACAAAUAUUUCUUUAUGGACACAACACUCUUUUUUAAAUGACUGAUUUACCGAUUUUAACUUGUUUUAAUAUUCUUUUAUCAUUAAAAAGUGUGUGCAUUUUCUUAAUUUCUGUCUCCCUAGUUACUGCAUAAAAACAAUAUAUAACAAUAACCUCUAUGUUUUGAGGGGAUGAUUCGUCUAAUGUCUGAAUCACAUUUUGCCUGACCAACAAAAAGAAAGUUGACGCCGCCUUCCUAUAUUUCCAUCUCUCAUUUACGCACAUGGGUCAAAUUAUGAAUAUCAGCCUAAAACUGUGCUUAAAAUGGGACGGGUGUCGGCAAAUUACACAGAUGACAAUUGGACUCCCUGCUCCCCGUUCUCCGUGGCAACCUCUAUAAAAAGGUAGUCAAUGACAGUAAUAAGAACGUACUAGAAGGACAUCGUGACCACAGGCCUCCACAAGGACAAAUGACCUCAUUCACAAUGUUAUUAAAAGCGGAACACUUCUUUUCCCUUUGAUUCAGAUAUGCUCCAAAAUGUGGUAUGACAGACUUGCGUGAAUAAACACUUAAAUAUCGGCUUAUAUAAGCAGUGUACUUUAUUAUGUAUAGUUUGUCUUGUACUGACAGACCCCAGCCAUCAGAGGGCAGGAGGAAACCUCGUUAUUGCAGCGCUCACUUCUUCCAGCCCUGAG